AGGGUUUGAUCCUGGCUCAGAACGAACGCUGGCGGCGUGGAUUAGGCAUGCAAGUCGACGAGGGCGAGAGCUUCGGCUCUCGAAUCGAGCGGCGAAAGGGUGAGUAAUGCAUAGGCAAUCUGCCCGCGAGUUCGGGAUAACCGCUGGAAACGGCGACUAAUACCGAAUUGCCCCGGUUGAAGACAUCUUCGGCCGGGUAAAGGGGGGGACCUUCGGGCCUCUCGCUCGCGGAGGAGCCUAUGUCCUAUCAGCUAGUUGGUGGGGUAACGGCCCACCAAGGCGAUGACGGGUAGCCGGGCUGAGAGGUUGACCGGCCACACUGGGACUGAGACACUGCCCAGACUCCUACGGGAGGCUGCAGUCGAGAAUCUUCCGCAAUGGGCGCAAGCCUGACGGAGCGACGCCGCGUGGAGGACGAAGGCCUUCGGGUUGUAAACUCCUGUCACGUGACGAGAAAUGUAAGGCGCUAACAUCGUCUUGCUUGACAACUCAUGAGAGGAAGUCACGGCUAACUCUGUGCCAGCAGCCGCGGUAAUACAGAGGUGGCAAGCGUUGUUCGGAAUCACUGGGCACAAAGGGCGCGUAGGCAGUUGAGCAAGUCGGGUGUGAAAGCCCUCGGCCUAACCGAGGAACUGCAUCCGAUACUGUUCGACUAGAGUGCGGUAGGGGAGAGUGGAACUCCUGGUGGAGCGGUGAAAUGCGUAGAUAUCAGGAGGAACGCCGGUGGCGAAAGCGACUCUCUGGCCCGUAACUGACGCUGAGGCGCGAAAGCCAGGGGAGCAAACGGGAUUAGAUACCCCGGUAGUCCUGGCCCUAAACGAUGGGCACUAGGUAGUGGAGGGUCCGAUCUCUUCACUGCCGGAGCAAAUGUGUUAAGUGCCCCGCCUGGGGAGUACAGUCGCAAGGCCGAAACUCAAAGGAAUUGACGGGGGCUCACACAAGCGGUGGAGGAUGUUGCUUAAUUCGAAGCAACGCGCAGAACCUUACCUGGGCUUGACAUGCUAGUGGUACGACCCUGAAAGGGUUAGGACCUGGUUUUCCAGGAGCUAGCACAGGUGUUGCAUGGCUGUCGUCAGCUCGUGUCGUGAGAUGUUGGGUUAAGUCCCGUAACGAGCGAAACCCUUGUCGUUAGUUGCCAGCGGGUAAUGCCGGGGACUCUAGCGAGACUGCCGGUGUCAAACCGGAGGAAGGUGGGGACGACGUCAAGUCAUCAUGGCCCUUACGCCCAGGGCUGCAAACGUCCUACAAUGGUCGGUACAAAGGGAAGCAAGACCGCAAGGUGGAGCGAAUCCCAAAAAGCCGGCCCCAGUUCGGAUUGUGGGCUGCAAUUCGCCUGCAUGAAGCCGGAAUCGCUAGUAAUCGCGGAUCAGCACGCCGCGGUGAAUAUGUUCCUGAGCCUUGUACACACCGCCCGUCAAGCCACAGGAAUCGGUAGCACCCGAAGUCGUUAGCCUAACC
This 1458-nucleotide ribosomal RNA is filed under the name metagenome. RNAcentral describes it as "bacterial SSU rRNA". It matches the Rfam family "Bacterial small subunit ribosomal RNA". The record is from RNAcentral.